This is a non-coding RNA of Triticum aestivum (bread wheat), 126 nucleotides long. NCBI's taxonomy places the organism in Eukaryota, Viridiplantae, Streptophyta, Magnoliopsida, Poales, Poaceae. The record is from Rfam.
CAAAAACUCCCUCCGUCCGAAAAUACUUGUCAUCAAAAUGGAUAAAAAGGAAUGUAUCUAGAACUAAUAUACAUCUAGAUACAUCCUCUUCUAUUCAUUUUGAUGACCGGACGGAGGGAGUACGAU